GCAAAGGUCAAAAUCUAGAACGUCCAAUUAACCUAUGACCUUGACCUCAAUUUCAAGGUCAUAGACUAAACAUCUCAAAUAAAAAGACACUAGUUCCUUAAUAUGUAUGGUUCAUGAGUAAAAUCACUUUACGCAUAAUUCUUAAUAUAAGAGGGGCGAAAACUCCCUUUUUAUUGUUUACGCACCCUCGCAACCAAAAUUUAUAAGUUACGACAUGUCGCAACUAACAAUUUAGUAAAAAAAAAUUGUCGAUAUCUUAUAAGGUUAAUGAAAAAAGGUGAAAAUAAGCCAAAAUCAAAAUUAAGAAUUUGACCUUGACCUUUGACCUUGACCUAAUUUUCAUUUUUUUGGACCAAGGAUCUUAAAUCAAAAGACCCUAGGUCUCUAUCACUUAUAGGUUUACCAGUUAGAAAUGCAUAUCACUUAUAUCAUAUAUAAAAGGGGGGAUAACUCUCAUAUGGAGUCUCCGGAUAGCUUCCGUUGAAAUGAAACAGAACAUCCUAAGGAUAUAACGAGCAAUUUGGAAAAAUAAAUUUGUCGGUUUCUUAUACGGUUGCGAAGCCUAGUAGUGGCCACAAGAAAAAAACAGUGUUUGGGGAGAUAACUCUUACAAGGUAAAGGUUUUUGUUACGCGGUGUCAGUUUCAGAAGCGCAUUAACUGUUCGAUAUCAUAUACCAAAUAUCUAAGCGACAUCUUGUGAAACAAAAAAACAGCGAAGGAAAAAAAAGUUGGCGGAAGAAAAAAAAAAAAUAAUAAUAAUAAUAAUAAUUAAAAACCAAUUGUUCAAAGAACAAUUGAAGGUCUUUCAACCAAUAAGGAUCUAUUUAGAUAUGAAAAUAUUAAAAUUCAGUUGAAAAUGUCAGUUCCUAUGGCUUAAUGAUGUAUAAAUAUGAAUUUUAAGCAAAGGUCAAAAUCUAGAACGUCCAAUUUAACCUAUGACCUUGACCUCAAUUUCAAGGUCAUAGACUAAACAUCUCAAAUAAAAAGACACUAGUUCCUUAAUAUGUAUGGUUCAUGAGUAAAAUCACUUUACGCAUAAUUCUUAAUAUAAGAGGGGCGAAAACUCCCUUUUAUUGUUUACGCACCCUCGCAACCAAAAUUUAUAAGUUACGACAUGUCGCAACUAACAAUUUAGUAAAAAAAAUUGUCGAUAUCUUAUAAGGUUAAUGAAAAAAGGUGAAAAUAAGCCAAAAUCAAAAUUUAAGAAUUUGACCUUGACCUUUGACCUUGACCUAAUUUUCAUUUUUUUGGACCAAGGAUCUUAAAUCAAAAGACCCUAGGUCUCUAUCACUUAUAGUUUACCAGUUAGAAAUGCAUAUCACUUAUAUCAUAUAUAAAAGGGGGGAUAACUCUCAUAUGGAGUCUCCGGAUAGCUUCGUUGAAAUGAAACAGAACAUCCUAAGGAUAUAACGAGCAAUUUGGAAAAAUAAAUUUGUCGGUUUCUUAUACGGUUGCGAAGGAGUAGUGGCCACAAGAAAAACAGUGUUUGGGGAGAUAACUCUUACAAGGUAAAGGUUUUUUGUUACGCGGUGUCAGUUUUCAGAAGCGCAUUAACUGUUCGAUAUCAUAUACCAAAUAUCUAAGCGACAUCUUUUGAAACAAAAAAACAGCGAAGGAAAAAAAAGUUGGCGGAAGAAAAAAAAAAAAAUAAUAAUAAUAAUAAUUAAAAACCAAUUGUUCAAAGAACAAUUGAAGGUCUUUCAACCAAAAAGGAUCUAUUUUGAUAUGAAAAUAUUAAAAUUCAGUUGAAAAUGUCAGUUCCUAUGGCUUUAAUGAUGUAUAAAUAUGAAUUUUAAGCAAAGGUCAAAAUCUAGAACGUCCAAUUAACCUAUGACCUUGACCUCAAUUUCAAGGUCAUAGACUAAGGACAUCUCAAAUCAAAAGACACUAGUUCUUAAUAUGUAUGGUUCAUGAGUAAUAUCACUUUACGCAUAAUUCUAAUAUAAGAGGGGCGAAAACUCCCAUUUAUUGUUUACGCACCCUUCGCAACCAAAAUUUAUAAGUUACGACAUGUCGCAACUAACAAUUUAGUAAAAAAUUUGUCGAUAUCUUAUAAGGUUAAUGAAAAUAAGUGAAAAUAAGCCAAAAUCAAAAUUUUAGAAUUUGACCUUGACCUUUGACCUUGACCUAAUUUUCAUUUUUUUGGACCAAGGAUCUUAAAUCAAAAGACCCUAGGUCUCUAUCACUUAUAGUUUACCAGUUAGAAAUGCAUAUCACUUAUAUCAUAUAUAAAAGGGGGAUAACUCUCAUAUGGAGUCUCCGGAUAGCUUCGGUCAAAAUGAAACAGAACAUCCUGAGGAUGUAACGAGCAAUUUGGUAAAAUAAAUUUGUCGUAAUCUUUUACGGUUGCGAAGGAGUAGUGGCCACAAGAAAAACAGUGUUCGGGGAGAUAACUCUUACAAGGUAAAGUUUUUUUGUUACGCGGUGUCAGUUUCAGAAGCGUAUUAACUGUUCGAUAUCAUAUACCAUAAUAUCUAAGCGACAUCUUGUGAAACAAAAAACAGCGAAGGAAAAAAAGUUGGCGGAAGAAAAAAAAAAAAAAAAAAAUAAUAAUAAUUAAAAACCAAUUGUUCAAAGAACAAUUGAAGGUCUUUCAACCAAUAAAGGAUCUAUUUUGAUAUGAAAAUAUUAAAAUUCAGUUGAAAAUGUCAGUUCCUAUGGCUUUAAUGAUGUAUAAAUAUGAAUUUUAAAGCAAAGGUCAAAAUCUAGAACGUCCAAUUAACCUAUGACCUUGACCUCAAUUUCAAGGUCAUAGACUAAACAUCUCAAAUCAAAAAGACACUAGUUCCUUAAUAUGUAUGGUUCAUGAGUAAUAUCACUUUACGCAUAAUUCUAAAUAUAAGAGGGGCGAAAACUCCCAUUUAUUGUCUACGCACCCUUGCAACCAAAAUUUAUAAGUUACGACAUGUCGCAACUAACAAUUUAGUAAAAAUAAUUUGUCGAUAUCUUAUAAGGUUAAUGAAAAUAAGUGAAAAUAAGCCAAAAUCAAAAUUUAGAAUUUGACCUUGACCUUUGACCUUGACCUAAUUUUCAUUUUUUUGGACCAAGGAUCUUAAAUCAAAAGACCCUAGGUCUCUAUCACUUAUGGUUUACCAGUUAGAAAUGCAUAUCACUUAUAUCAUAUAUAAAAGGGGGGAUAACUCUCAUAUGGAGUCUCCGGAUAGCUUCGGUCCAAAUGAAACAGAACAUCCUGAGGAUAUAACGAGCAAUUUGGAAAAAUAAAUUUGUCGGUUUUCUUUUAUACGGUUGCGAAGGAGUAGUGGCCACAAGAAAAACAGUGUUCGGGGAGAUAACUCUUACAAGGUAAAGGUUUUUUGUUACGCGGUGUCAGUUUCAGAAGCGCAUUAACUGUUCGAUAUCAUAUUACCAAAUAUCUAAGCGACAUCUUGUGAAACAAAAAAACAGCGAAGGAAAAAAAAGUUGGCGGAAGAAAAAAAAAAAAAAAAAAAUAAUAAUAAUAAUAAUCAGAACAAUAAAUAGGUCUUUCAAUUGAAGAACAAUUCAAUGGUCUUUCAAAGAAAAGACAAUAAUUAAAAACCAAUUGUUCAAGAACAAUUGAAGGUCUUUCACUAAGGAUCUAUUUAGAUAUGAAAUAUUAAAAAUUCAGUUGAAAAUGUCAGUUCCUAUGGCUUAAUGAUGUAUAAAUAUGAAUUUUAAGCAAAGGUCAAAAUCUAGAACGUCCAAUUAACCUAUGACCUUGACCUCAAUUUCAAGGUCAUAGACUAAACAUCUCAAAUAAAAGACACUAGUUCCUUAAUAUGUAUGGUUCAUGAGUAAAAUCACUUUACGCAUAAUUCUUAAAUAUAAGAGGGGCGAAAACUCCCUUUUAUUGUUUACGCACCCUCGCAACCAAAAUUUAUAAGUUACGACAUGUCGCAACUAACAAUUUAGUAAAAAAAAAUUGUCGAUAUCUUAUAAGGUUAAUGAAAAAAGGUGAAAAAUAAGCCAAAAUCAAAAUUAAGAAUUUGACCUUGACCUUUGACCUUGACCUAAUUUUCAUUUUUUUGGACCAAGGAUCUUAAAUCAAAAGACCCUAGGUCUCUAUCACUUAUAGUUUACCAGUUAGAAAUGCAUAUCACUGAUAUCAUAUAUAAAAGGGGGAUAACUCUCAUAUGGAGUCUCCGGAUAGCUUCGGUUGAAAUGAAACAGAACAUCCUAAGGAUAUAACGAGCAAUUUGGAAAAAUAAAUUUGUCGGUUUCUUAUACGGUUGCGAAGUAGUAGUGGCCACAAGAAAAACAGUGUUUGGGGAGAUAACUCUUACAAGGUAAAGUUUUUGUUACGCGGUUGUCAGUUUCAGAAGCGUAUUAAACUGUUCGAUAUCAUAUACCAAAUAUCUAAGCGACAUCUUGUGAAACAAAAAAACAGCGAAGGAAAAAAAAGUUGGCGGAAGAAAAAAAAAAAAAAAAUAAUAAUAAUAAUAAUAAUAAUAAUAAUAAUCAGAACAAAUAUAGGUCUUUCAACUGAAAGGUUGAAAGACCUAAUUAAAAACCAAUUGUUCAGAGAACAAUUGUAGGUCUUUCCACUAGUAAAGAUCUAUUUUGAUAUUGAAAUAUUAAAAAUCAGUUUAAAAUGUUAGUUCCUAUGGCUUUAUGAUGUAUUUAUAUGAAUUUAAAGCAAAGGUCAAAAUCUAGAACGUCAUAUUAACCUAUGACCUUGACCUCAAUUUCAAGUUCACAAACCAAGGACCUUAAAUCAAAAGACCCAAGGUCUUUAAUAUGUUUGGUUUAUUAGUAAUAUCACUUUACGCGUAAUUCUAAAUGUAAGAUGGGCAAAAACUCCCAUUUAUUGUCUGCGCACCCUUUCAAUCAAAAUAUACAAGUAAGGACAUGUCGCAACUAACAAUUUAUGAAAAAAUUAUUUGUCGAUAUGUCAUAAGGUAUUUGAAAAUAAAUGAAAAUAAGCCAAAAUCAAAAUUUAGAAUAUGACCUUGACCUUUGACCUUGACCUCAUUUUUAUUAUUUUCGACCAAGGACCCCAAAUCUAAAGACCCUAUGUCUUUAUCACUUAUGGUUUACCAUUUAGAAAUGCAUAUCACUUAAUUAAAUGGAAAAGGGGGAAUAACUCUCAUAUGGAGUCUCCGUAAAGCUUCGGUCCAAAUGAAUAUCCUAAUCCUGAAGAUGUAACGAGCAAUUUGGUAAAAUAAAUUUGUCGUAAUCUUUAACGGUUGCGAAGGAGUAGUGGCCACAAGAAAAACAGUGUUUGGGGAGAUAACUCUUACAACGUAAAGUAUUUUGUUACGCAGUUGUAAAUUUUUAAAGCGUAUAAACUAUACGAUACCAUAUUCCAAAUAUCUAAGCGACAUCUUUUGAAACAUCAAAAAUACGCAAGAAAAAAAAUUAGGCGGAAGAAAAAAAAAAAAAAUAAUAAUAAUAAUAAUCAGAACAAAUUCAAUAGGUCUUUCCACGGAAAGGUGGAAAGACCUAAUUAAAAACCAAUUGUUCAGAGAACAAUUGAAGGUCUUUCAACCAAUAAGGAUCUAUUUUGAUAUGAAAAUAUUAAAAUUCAGUUGAAAAUGUCAGUUCCUAUGGCUUUAUGAUGUAUAAAUAUAUGAAUUUUAAGCAAAGGUCAAAAUCUAGAACGUCCAAUUAAACCUAUGACCUUGACCUCAAUUUCAAGGUCAUAGACUAAACAUCUCAAAUAAAAAAGACACUAGUUCCUUAAUAUGUAUGGUUCAUGAGUAAAAUCACUUUACGCAUAAUUCUUAAUAUAAGAGGGGCGAAAACUCCCUUUUAUUGUUUACGCACCCUUUGCAACCAAAAAUUUAUAAGUUACGACAUGUCGCAACUAACAAUUUAGUAAAAAAAAUUUGUCGAUAUCUUAUAAGGUUAAUGAAAAAAGGUGAAAAUAAGCCAAAAUCAAAAUUUAGAAUUUGACCUUGACCUUUGACCUUGACCUAAUUUUCAUUUUUUUGGACCAAGGAUCUUAAAUCAAAAGACCCUAGGUCUCUCUAUCACUUAUAGGUUUACCAGUUAGAAAUGCAUAUCACUGAUAUCAUAUAUAAAAGGGGGGAUAACUCUCAUAUGGAGUCUCCGGAUAGCUUCGGUUGAAAUGAAACAGAACAUCCUAAGGAUAUAACGAGCAAUUUGGAAAAAUAAAUUUGUCGUAAUCUUUAUUACGGUUGCGAAGGAGUAGUGGCCA
RNAcentral lists this long non-coding RNA (6140 nucleotides) under Mytilus galloprovincialis (Mediterranean mussel). The record is from RNAcentral. Lineage: Eukaryota; Metazoa; Mollusca; Bivalvia; Mytilida; Mytilidae.